UCUGAACUGAGUGGCAAAACAUAGGGAAUGGGACAUCAGGAGGGCCAGUCUCAGUUUUAAUGCUAUGACCCUGGGCAAAUUACCUGUCUGCCCCUGUUUUAUCACACCACACACUUUGUCUUGUCUGUCCAGACUCUAGCUGCUUUGGGACAGACACCAUCUCUCAAAAUGUGUUAGUAAUUCUCCUUGGAGGGCACUGGAGAACAAAAUAAGUGCUUAGUAUAUCAUCAAAAUAUUUAGUAAAUAAUAGGCAAUUGUGAGUCACUGCCCUGUAACUCCAUGUCUGGCUCUUGGUUUGUUGAAGAACAGCUAUGAAUCAGCUUUGGUCUGCAGGGUACUUGGAAAGCACCCAGCACGCGGACAGCUUCGUCUGUGAAUGCCUUUUUUUUUACAGGAUAAUCUGGUUCUGCGAUAGCACAGGGGAGUUUUGGCUGAUACAGUGACAUCAGGCUCAGCGCUCCUACCCCACACAAAGAAGAGUUCAUUCUGCUGGGGGUUGCCCUUCUCUUCCCAGCCCUUCCACCCCUGCACCUUUGGCUGCUGGAUGAUGCUCUUGUCAGCCCAGUGAAAAUUCUUGUGCAAUCCUGACAAAUGAACACCACAAGAAGUUGGAUCUGGAAAGACCAUCUUCAGCUGUUAUCGCCUGCCUUCACACACUCCGAGGCCAGAUGGCUGAAGAGAAGGCGUUCAGCCACCAGUCGGUGGGCACUACAGGACUUUCCCAUCAAUCCAGAGAAAGACAAUUCAUUUUUCCCUUUCUGGUAUCAUUCAGACUGCUGUGUGAUGGGAGACUCAAGGCUCCAGCAGUAUGUGCAGAAGAUUGGGUACAUUGAGAUAGCCCUUGAAUAAUGUUGCGAAGGUGGACAGAGAUUAAGAAGAAAAGCAUCCAGUUUGGAGUCAGACAGUAUAAAGAAAUGAAAAUAAAAUUCAGGUCGAAAUGCACUUGA
RNAcentral lists this long non-coding RNA (947 nucleotides) under Gallus gallus (chicken). RNAcentral describes it as "lncRNA (ENSGALG00010020182.1)". Lineage: Eukaryota; Metazoa; Chordata; Aves; Galliformes; Phasianidae. The record is from RNAcentral.